AUCACAAGCACGCGCAGAAGGUAGCCAAAUCCCUAGAUUCGUUCCCCACGCACGCUGCCUGGGGCUCCCGCCGGUCGACCCACACCGUCCCACCGCCGCCCCGACACCGCCCGGGGCUACCGCCGGUCGAUCUCGACGCCAUACCACGGCCGCCCCAUACCGCCAUGCCUCUACCGCGCCGCCCGACGCAGCCAUGCCUCUAAACGCCGCCGUGCCUCUAUAGCGCCGCUCCACGCCGUCCUGCCCCUUCAGCGCAGCCCAACGUCGUCCUGCAUCUCCACUGCCGGCCCAACGCCUUCCUGCUCUCUCUCCGGGUGGCCGCCUCUCUCCACGGCCACAUCUAGCACAGUUGCCGCCUUCCUCCCUGGCCCGACCUCCCCCAUGUCCACCACGAAAGCACACGCAGCGGUGGCGGCGAUUUGGAUCGGGGCAGCGUGCGGCUGGGCAAGGGCAUCGAUGCGGCUGAGGGAAAGGAGUACUCCGGCGGCGGGGAACGGGGAGCUCCGGCGGUGGGAAACGAGUAGAUGUUCCAGUGGACAAGGCACCUCAUGCUUUUAUUAUUCUCUGGUUCUCCGAUUUGCUGUGUACUGCUGCCAGCUAGUCUGAUUGUGAGAAGCUUUAUGGCAGCGAUAUGAACUAAUUUUAGAAGUUGAGCUGUUGUGUGCAAAUUUUGUUUAUUUCCAGUGCAAAUUUUGUGGUACCGAUAUGAACUAAUCUUUUUUUUCCAUUGGUCAUUUAGUUCACCUUUCACUAAGAGUCAUGUUUACGGUGUUACUCUUGUUAUGCUUCUGCCCAAGAUAAGUUAAUUUUUGCUCUUCCAAAAAGGUUCCCCGGAUAUGUUUCCUGUUUUGUGCUUAGUUUGCCAUGAUGUGUUUAGUCUGCCACCGUGUUUAGUGUCUCUUUGUGCUUGAUAAGAGGAUUGUUCAAAUGUAAAAACUUUCUUUUUACAUGAGAUGACAUGGCUUUUGCCCCCUGUUUUCGCUGACUUGGUUUCUGCAGGUAGCAUAGUGUAUAACUGCUGGUAACAUUGAGUCGUCAAGGAGAAGUAGCAGGAGGAAAAAUGGCAAGCGCAAGUGGAAGCGGAAAAGCUAAAGGUGGUGGGGGUCAUGGAGGAACAUCUGAAAGCGGUAAGAGGUACAAGUUUGAUGCCGCGCUGAUUGAUGCACAACUUAUGAAAAGAUGUGACAGUAGAAUUAGUGAAGCUGACUGGAAGAACCUUAUUACUUACUGGAGAUCUUCGGUAUUUGAAGCUGUCAAACUUGUCCAUCAGCCUCGAAGAGAUCAAGUUUAUAUCGAGACAAAUACAUGCAAGAAAGGGGAUAAGAAAGGGAGUUAUGUGCCGCAGGCAGAAGCAACAAUUAAAUAUCUCGUAGAGAAAGCUGAAAAGCGCACUGAAUGGAAGGAAAAAGCAUUCAAGAAGGUGAUCUGUUUGCACAUGUAUGUGGAAUGAAGGAGCCAAGGGGUCGUGUUCGUACUUCUGUAUGCAUGGACUGGUCAUGAAACUCCUGUUGCUCAGGCAACAAUUUCCAAAUUUGACCCGUAUUUGGUCAGGCAAGGUUCGCUUUUCCUUUAAUCAUGCAUAUUGAUUAUAAUAGUCUUAUGCUAUUUUAACCUUUGCACUGUGCUUUGUACAUAUAACUUAUACUAUGCGCAAAUAUAUUGUUUCCAUGUAAGAAAGUGUGAUGAAUAAAAAUAAGUCAAAAAAUAUAUACAAUGCCUUCUGAAUCUGAGCAAUAUCCCCACAAUUUUUUUUCUGUAUCACAAGAGACCACCAUGAUGAGUAUAUGUGUUCCAAUGAGCAGAUAGUGCUAGCUUAAUUUAUGAAUAAUGGAAAAAUAUAUUGAGGCUGUGAAGAAGGCUGCCAUCGAGACAAAGAGCGAGCACCCCAAGGAUUAAUGCGUGGCAUAGAAGGAAUGGCUAAAGGUACGCGCGCUUUUAAAAUUUCUAGAAGGGUACCCCUUUUCCUGUCAGUGGUAAUGAAUUCUCUUGAGUUGCUUUGAUGUUCAAGCUAGAGAAUGUUCUCCAAUGAGAUGAAGGAUGAAGGCUUUGAUGUCAAGUGCAAGAACGAUGCAACGAUCUUGCUGGAAGGCUGUGAGGAUGGGUAUGUAGUUGCCCACUACAAGGAGCCAAGGCAGAUGAUGUAUUGCAGAAAAAAAAGCGACAAACUUUUGCUCUCAGACAGUGAACUAUCAUGUUUCCUCUAUUUAAUUAGUUACAUUAGUUUAUUUAUAGGAAACUUGGCUGGCCAUUCGUUCAUAACUAUUGAACUAUUUAUAUGUGAAAAUUAAUGAAUGUGUGUGACUAUUGUUUGGUUC
Molecule: long non-coding RNA, 2315 nt
Organism: Triticum aestivum (bread wheat)
Lineage: Eukaryota; Viridiplantae; Streptophyta; Magnoliopsida; Poales; Poaceae
Exons: 6
Source: RefSeq, a predicted model, not a curated record